This 552-nucleotide small RNA is filed under the name Pan troglodytes (chimpanzee). Its description in RNAcentral is "processed transcript". Lineage: Eukaryota; Metazoa; Chordata; Mammalia; Primates; Hominidae. The record is from RNAcentral.
UGGCAGAGUGCACAGUUCCUGAAGAGGAGGUUUCUAAUCAGGGAGAUGCUGAGCAGCAGAGAGAGUCUGCUGCUGGGGCCUAAAAUUUACAGCUCUAAGAAUUCAUUGCUGCCGUUGCUGCUAACAUAUUACAAGGGGUGCCUAAUUCCAGUAACUUGUUACAGGACAUCCUUAGAUCUUCAUGUUCUGUAAUCAGCAGGUGAUGCAGGUUCUGAAUGCUGAUGCCAUUGUUGUGAAGCUGAACUCAGGCGAUUACAAGACGAUUCACCUGUCCAGCAUCCGACCACCGAGGCUGGAGGGGGAGAACACCCAGGAUAAGAACAAGAAACUGCGUCCCCUGUAUGACAUUCCUUACAUGUUUGAGGCCCGGGAAUUUCUUCGAAAAAAGCUUAUUGGGAAGAAGGUCAAUGUGACGGUGGACUACAUUAGACCAGCCAGCCCAGCCACAGAGACAGUGCCUGCCUUUUCAGAGCGUACCUGUGCCACUGUCACCAUUGGAGGAAUAAACAUUGCUGAGGCUCUUGUCAGCAAAGGUCUAGCCACAGUGAUCAG